Molecule: ribosomal RNA, 830 nt
Filed under: Coccolithus braarudii
Lineage: Eukaryota; Haptophyta; Coccolithales; Coccolithaceae
Description: eukaryotic LSU rRNA
Rfam family: Eukaryotic large subunit ribosomal RNA
Source: RNAcentral
GCCCCCCGAAUUGUGGUCUAGAAAGGCGCCAUCGGCCAUUCGCGUCGCCCAAAUCCCUUGGAACAGGGUAUCGGAGAAGGUGAGAAUCCUGUGCCGUGGCGUAGAAUGGCCGCACGAUGCGUCCUUGUCGAGUCGGGUUGCUUGGGAUUGCAGCUUGAAGUGGGUGGUAAAUUCCAUCUAAAGCUAAAUACUGGCGAGAGACCGAUAGCGAACAAGUACCGUGAGGGAAAGAUGCAAAGAACUUUGAAAAGAGAGUCAAAGAGUGCUUGAAAUUGGCAGGAGGAAACCCGGUUGUGCCCCGUGUCGCCGCAUCGACUCAGCCUUGUGUGUGCCUUUUGUCGACCGCAAGGCGGCUUUGGUAACCUGCUUGGUGCACUUUGGUGUGGCGGGUCAGCCGCCGCUGCGGCGUUGGGAGAGUCCACUUGCCGAGGCUUCGGUAAGGCUUGUGGCGCGCCAACUCUGCGGCGUCGGCUGACGUAAGGGGCACCACCGACCCGUCUAGAAACACGGACCAAGGAGUCUGACACGUGUGCGAGUACCCGGGUGGCAAUCCCGCGUGCGCAAUGAAAGUGAAGGGCAUGCCCUGCCAACCGACCUUGAUCUUCUGUGAAGGGUUUGAGUGGAGCACGUGUGUCGGGACCCGAAAGAUGGUGAACUAUGCCUGAGGAGGGUGAAGCCAGAGGAAACUCUGGUGGAGGCUCGUAGCGAUACUGACGUGCAAAUCGUUCGUCGAACUUGGGUAUAGGGGCGAAAGACUAAUCGAACCAUCUAGUAGCUGGUUCCCUCCGAAGUUUCCCUCAGGAUAGCUUGAGCGCCUUGUACGGUUUUGU